RNAcentral lists this ribosomal RNA (364 nucleotides) under uncultured bacterium. Its description in RNAcentral is "bacterial SSU rRNA". It matches the Rfam family "Bacterial small subunit ribosomal RNA", at positions 1139 to 1504 of the family's 1533-position model. The record is from RNAcentral.
UUUAAUGAGAUUCCCGUGACAAACCGGAGGAAGGUGGGAUGAGUCAAGUCCUUCAUGGCCCUUAUGGGUAGGGCUUCACACGUCAUACAAUGGUCGGUACGGAGGGUUGCCAACCCGCGAGGGGGAGCCAAUCCCACAAAGCCGAUGGUAGUCCGGAUCACAGUCUGCAACUCGACUGCGUGACGUCGGAAUCGUUAGUAAUCGUGGAUCAGCAUGUCACGGUGAAUACGUUCCCGGGUCUUGAACACACCGCCCGUCACACCAUGGGAGUGGGUUCCACCAGAAGUAGGUAGUCUAACCGCAAGGGGGGCGCUUACCACGGUGGGAUUCAUGACUGGGGUGAAGUCGUAACAAGGUAACCGUA